AGAUUGAACGCUGGCGGCAGGCCUAACACAUGCAAGUCGAGCGGCAGCACGGGUACUUGUACCUGGUGGCGAGCGGCGGACGGGUGAGUAAUGCCUAGGAAUCUGCCUGGUAGUGGGGGAUAACGCUCGGAAACGGACGCUAAUACCGCAUACGUCCUACGGGAGAAAGCAGGGGACCUUCGGGCCUUGCGCUAUCAGAUGAGCCUAGGUCGGAUUAGCUAGUUGGUGGGGUAAUGGCUCACCAAGGCGACGAUCCGUAACUGGUCUGAGAGGAUGAUCAGUCACACUGGAACUGAGACACGGUCCAGACU
Molecule: ribosomal RNA, 311 nt
Filed under: uncultured soil bacterium
Lineage: Bacteria
Description: bacterial SSU rRNA
Rfam family: Bacterial small subunit ribosomal RNA
Source: RNAcentral